This 373-nucleotide long non-coding RNA is filed under the name Vigna radiata. Its description in RNAcentral is "long non-coding RNA (VRAD_LNC010910)". Lineage: Eukaryota; Viridiplantae; Streptophyta; Magnoliopsida; Fabales; Fabaceae. The record is from RNAcentral.
CUGCGAUGAUCAAGCCGUAGAUGCCAAGCACUCCCGCCAUGACAACCGGCACAAUCGAUUUCAUCACCAGCUCCGGCCUCAUCACGCCCAUUGAGGCAACACCAACGCCGCUCUUCGCCGUACCGUACGCCGCCCCCAUGCAAGAGAAAACGAGGGCCGCCGCGGCGCCCAGGAAGCCGAAGAAGGGGGCAGUUUCAUCGCCGCUGAAAUCAACCAUUAUUUCUUUCUUUCUCUGGAUUUUGGCUUCGGCCAGACGACAGUGAGAUCUGUUGCUAUUACUGUUAUUAUUGCUUUUUCGCCUUCUCUUCUUCCCUCUCCCUCUCGGAAGUUUCUUGAACGGACCCUCUCUGCCACCUCUGUCAUUAUCACUCAC